Molecule: non-coding RNA, 25 nt
Filed under: Cricetulus griseus (Chinese hamster)
Lineage: Eukaryota; Metazoa; Chordata; Mammalia; Rodentia; Cricetidae
Source: RNAcentral
UAAGAUUAUAGGGGAGUACCACUGU